RNAcentral lists this ribosomal RNA (301 nucleotides) under uncultured bacterium. RNAcentral's name for it is "partial 16S ribosomal RNA". It matches the Rfam family "Bacterial small subunit ribosomal RNA", at positions 509 to 807 of the family's 1533-position model. The record is from RNAcentral.
CAGUAGCCACGGUAAUACAGAGGGUGCGAGCGUUAAUCGGAUUUACUGGGCGUAAAGCGUGCGUAUGCGGCUUCUUAAGUCGGAUGUGAAAUCCCUGAGCUUAACUUAGGAAUUGCAUUCGAUACUGGGAAGCUAGAGUAUGGGAGAGGAUGGUAGAAUUCCAGGUGUAGCGGUGAAAUGCGUAGAGAUCUGGAGGAAUACCGAUGGCGAAGGCAGCCAUCUGGCCUAAUACUGACGCUGAGGUACGAAAGCAUGGGGAGCAAACAGGAUUAGAUACCCCAGUAGUCCCUGUCUCUUAUAC